CCGCGUGAGUGANGAAGGCCUUCGGGUUGUAAAGCUCUUUCGCNAGGGAAGAAAACUUAUGAUCGAAUAAAUCAUGAGGUUGACGGUACCUUGAUAAGAAGCACCGGCUAACUACGUGCCAGCAGCCGCGGUAAUACGUAGGGUGCGAGCGUUAAUCGGAAUUACUGGGCGUAAAGCGUGCGCAGGCGGUUUUGUAAGUCGGAUGUGAAAUCCCCGGGCUCAACCUGGGAACUGCGUUCGAAACUGCAAGGCUAGAGUGUGUCAGAGGGGGGUAGAAUUCCACGUGUAGCAGUGAAAUGCGUAGAGAUGUGGAGGAAUACCAAUGGCGAANGCAGCCCCCUGGGAUAACACUGACGCUCAUGCACGAAAGCGUGGGGAGCAAACAGGAUUAGAUACCCUGGUAGUCCACGCCCUAAACGAUGUCAACUAGUUGUUGGUAGAGUAAAAUCUAUGAGUAACGUAGCUAACGCGUGAAGUUGACCGCCUGGGGA
This 491-nucleotide ribosomal RNA is filed under the name uncultured bacterium. Its description in RNAcentral is "bacterial SSU rRNA". It matches the Rfam family "Bacterial small subunit ribosomal RNA", at positions 397 to 879 of the family's 1533-position model. The record is from RNAcentral.